Molecule: ribosomal RNA, 305 nt
Filed under: uncultured bacterium
Lineage: Bacteria
Description: partial 16S ribosomal RNA
Rfam family: Bacterial small subunit ribosomal RNA
Source: RNAcentral
ACAGCAGCCGCCGCGGUAAAACGUAGGUGGCAAGCGUUGUCCGGAAUUAUUGGGCGUAAAGGGCUCGCAGGCGGUUUCUUAAGUCUGAUGUGAAAGCCCCCGGCUCAACCGGGGAGGGUCAUUGGAAACUGGGAAACUUGAGUGCAGAAGAGGAGAGUGGAAUUCCACGUGUAGCGGUGAAAUGCGUAGAGAUGUGGAGGAACACCAGUGGCGAAGGCGACUCCCUGGUCUGUAAUUGACGCUGAGGAGCGAAAGCGUGGGGAGCGAACAGGAUUAGAUACCCCCGUAGUCCCUGUCUCUUAUAC